GAUGAACGCUGGCUACAGGCUUAACACAUGCAAGUCGAGGGGACACGACGGGGAAGCUUGCUUCCCCGGGCGUCGACCGGCGCACGGGUGAGUAACGCGUAUCCAACCUGCCUCUGACUGAGGGCUAACCCGUCGCAAGUCGGCCUAAUACCUCAUGACAUCGUCUGCGGGCAUCCAACGACGAUUAAAGAUUUCAUCGGUCAGGGAUGGGGAUGCGUCUGAUUAGCUAGUUGGCGGGGUAACCGCCCACCAAGGCGACGAUCAGUAGGGGUUCUGAGAGGAAGGUCCCCCACAUUGGAACUGAGACACGGUCCAAACUCCUACGGGAGGCAGCAGUGAGGAAUAUUGGUCAAUGGGCGAGAGCCUGAACCAGCCAAGUAGCGUGCAGGAUGACGGCCCUAUGGGUUGUAAACUGCUUUUAUGCGGGGAUAAAGUGAGGGACGUGUCCUUCAUUGCAGGUACCGCAUGAAUAAGGACCGGCUAAGUCCGUG
Molecule: ribosomal RNA, 491 nt
Filed under: uncultured bacterium
Lineage: Bacteria
Description: partial 16S ribosomal RNA
Rfam family: Bacterial small subunit ribosomal RNA
Source: RNAcentral